RNAcentral lists this ribosomal RNA (496 nucleotides) under uncultured bacterium. RNAcentral describes it as "partial 16S ribosomal RNA". It matches the Rfam family "Bacterial small subunit ribosomal RNA", at positions 30 to 523 of the family's 1533-position model. The record is from RNAcentral.
AUUGAACGCUGGCGGAAUGCUUUACACAUGCAAGUCGAACGGUAGAGGGGGCAACCCCUCGAGAGUGGCGAACGGGUGAGUAAUAUAUCGGAACGUGCCCAGCCGUGGGGGAUAACGUAGCGAAAGUUACGCUAAUACCGCAUACGAUCUAAGGAUGAAAGCGGGGGAUCGCAAGACCUCGCGCGAUUGGAGCGGCCGAUAUCAGAUUAGGUAGUUGGUGGGGUAAAGGCUCACCAAGCCAACGAUCUGUAGCUGGUCUGAGAGGACGACCAGCCACACUGGAACUGAGACACGGUCCAGACUCCUACGGGAGGCAGCAGUGGGGAAUUUUGGACAAUGGACGCAAGUCUGAUCCAGCCAUUCCGCGUGCAGGAUGAAGGCCCUCGGGUUGUAAACUGCUUUUGUACGGAACGAAAAGGUCUCUCUUAAUACGAGGGGCUCAUGACGGUACCAUAAGAAUAAGCACCGGCUAACUACGUGCCAGCCGCCGCAGUAA